AUGGCCCCCACCAAGACCUCCCGCUCUUUCUGCGGCUGCGCAGGCCCACCUCGCCUCUUCUGCGGCUGCGCAGGCUCCGCCCGGGACCGUCUGCUGCUGUGUGGCCGGGCCUCACGCGGAGCUGAGGUGCAGCUUGAAGGAAAUGGAUCUCUAACAGAGAUCACUUUAGGCAGUAAGUUUUCAGACAGUCUCCAUAUGCCAGGCUGUGUUCAAGGACCUAUGAAAACAGCGGUGGACGAGAAAGAUGUAAUCGGUGUCCCUGUGGAGUUUACAACCUGGAGGAGCCCAUGGUGGUAAAUGGUACCCAUCAGAAGGCAUGAGUAGAGGUGUGCUGACAGUGACAAGCCAGCCCUGCCAGGGCAACGAGGACUGGGAACCUUCAAAUGAUUUUGAAAUUAGAGAAGGCCAAGGCACCCAAGAGGUAACCCAAGAGGUAAGCCCAGCACCCAAGGAAAGGAGGAACCAUCUCUUGGCCCAGCCUGCCCCCAGGGUGCAGAUCAAAGCUGAUAGCUGGAAUCUGUUCCAGUUUCCAAGGAGUGUGCUCUUUAUAG
This 551-nucleotide long non-coding RNA is filed under the name Mustela putorius furo (domestic ferret). RNAcentral's name for it is "lncRNA (ENSMPUG00000028250.1)". Lineage: Eukaryota; Metazoa; Chordata; Mammalia; Carnivora; Mustelidae. The record is from RNAcentral.